GAGACGGCGCCGGGCAGCGCUCCGAACCCUCCACCUUCUCCCCGCUCCCGACGCCCCCUCCAGCCCCCCCCCCCUUGACAGUUCAACAUCCUCAAUAAAUCUGCCAAGAUGACACAUUCUCAACUUACCUUUGAAAUAAGAGGAACUCCAUUACCAGGAGAAAUUUUUGCAAUAUGUGGAGAUUGUGACGCUUUGGGAAAUUGGAAUCCUCAAUAUGGUGUGGCUCUUAAACCUGAAGAGAAGCCAAAUGAGGGUAUUCUAUGGAGAACAACAGUAGCACUCAAUAAAGGAGUACCAGUUCAGUAUCGUUACUUUAAAGGAUACUUUGUAGAACCAAAGACUAUCGGAGGUCCAUGUCAAGUCAUAGUUCACAAGUGGGAGACUCAUCUACAACCACGAUCAAUAACCCCUUUAGAGGGCGAAAGCACUAUUGAUGAUGGACAGUUUGGAAUCCACAAUGGUGUUGAAAAUCUCGAUACUGGAUGGCUGACGUGUCAGACUGAAAUAAGAUUACGUCUACAUUUUUCUUCAAGACCACCAGUUUUAAUAUCGAAGAAAAAAUUUAAAAAAUCUAGAUUUAGGGUAAAGGUGACAUUAGAAGGUCCAGAAGAUGAUGAAGAUUGCUUAUCUCCCAUUAUCCAUCAUAAAAUGGCAAAAAACUUAGAAAUAUCCUUAGUAAGUGAUAAUGAAUUCAAAUGUCGUCAUUCUCAGCCAGAAUGUGGUUAUGGAUUACAACCUGAUCGAUGGACAGAGUAUCACAUACAAACAAUGGAACCAGAUAAUUUGGAAUUACUCUUUGACUUUUUUGAAGAAGAUUUAAGUGAACCAGUUGUGCAAGGAGAUGCACUUCCAGGACAUGUUGGCACUGCAUGUCUGUUGUCCUCUACUAUUGCUGAAAGUAGAAGAAGUGCAGGAAUUCUCUCACUUCCCAUCAUGAGCAGGAAUUCAAGAAAAGCAAUUGGCAAAGUUAGAGUUGAUUAUAUAAUUAUUAAGCCAUUAGCUGGAUACACUUGUAAUAUGAAGUGUUCAUUUUCAAAGUACUGGAAUCCAAGAACACCUCUGGAUGUUGGACAUCGAGGUGCAGGAAACUCUACAACUACUGCCAAGCUUGCUAAAGUACAAGAAAAUACAAUUGCUUCUUUAAGAAGUGCAGCUAGUCAUGGUGCAGCUUAUGUAGAAUUUGAUGUUCAUCUUUCAAAGGAUUUUGUGCCUAUUGUAUAUCAUGAUCUCACUUGUUGCAUGACUAUGAAAAAGAAAUUUGGUGAUGAACCCACAGAACUGUUUGAAAUUCCAGUGAAAGAGUUAACUUUUGAACAACUCCAGCUGUUGAAGCUGUCUCAUGUAACUGCACUAAAAUCACAACAGUUCUUAAAUGCAUCUUUAAGCAUGGAAGAAAAUUAUAUCUCUGAAAAUCAACCAUUCCCUUCUCUCCAAAUGGUUUUAGAGGCUUUGCCAGAGAAUGUUGGGUUUAACAUUGAAAUAAAAUGGAUUUGCCAACAAAGAGAUGGGAUAUGGGAUGGCAAUUUAUCAGCAUUUUUUGACAUGAACAUGUUCUUGGAUAUAAUUUUAAAGACUGUUUUAGAAAAGUCUGGAAGUAGAAGAAUUAUAUUUUCUUCAUUUGAUCCAGAUGUCUGCACAAUGAUUCGACACAAGCAAAACAAAUAUCCUGUUUUGUUUUUGACUCAAGGAAAAACUGGUGCUUAUCCUCAACUCAUGGAUCUAAGAUCUAGGACAAUUUCCAUUGCAAUGAGUUUUGCACAGUUUGAAAAUUUGCUGGGAAUAAAUGCACAUAGUGAAGAACUUCUUAGGAAUCCAUCAUAUGUUGAUGAAGCUAGAUCUAAGGGCUUAGUAAUAUUCUGUUGGGGUGAUGAUACCAAUGAUCCUGAAAACAGAAGGAAGCUGAGGGAAUUUGGUGUUCAUGGCUUAAUCUAUGACAGGAUAUAUGAUUCGAUGCCUGAACAGCCAAAUAUAUUCCAGAUGCAAGGCAGUGAUGUGAGCAGGAGCAACAUAAGGAAGAUCAGGAAUACCACAGAUGACACCUCCAGCAUGGUCAACAAUCCUGUGUGAGGGUCAAGUCGUCAAGCACAUAGAAAUUUCUAUGUACUAGGCACUGUGCUACAAAAAUAGACACUACUCCCAAGAAUCUGACAUAUAAAUAAAUGUGACAACAUGCAUACUAGGUAUAAACAGGAUAACACAAUUGGAAUUAAUCACAAAGGAAAGGCAUUAGCACUGAGGAAAAUUGGAAAAGGAGAUUUUAAGAGAAGCCGGGAGUCAGAAAGAGGAAGACCAUUCCGGGUUUUGAGGACAAUCAGUGAAAAUGUCAGGAGAUUGAUGCCACUGUCACUGGAUCAUAAGACCACAUGUAGGGAAAUAAGGUGUAAGGAAAAAGGAUGAAACCAGGUAGUGAAGAUUUUUAAAAUCCAAAAAGAUUUUUUUUAUCUUGGAGGUAAUAGGGAACCACUAGUUUUUAAGAAUGGAAGGAGAUGGGGUUAGCUUGGGUUAAUAGAGCAUUUUUUUCAUAGCUAAGUGGAUGGACUGAAGUGGGAAGACACAAGAAAGACCAACCAGAAAAUUAUUGCAAUAGUCUGGGUAUUAAGGUGUUGAGACUGCUCUGGGGUGGCAGCAGUGUCAAGAGGAAGGAAUGGGGCAUAUAUGAGGGAAUCAUUAAUUGAUGGAUAUGAAGCAGUGAGAAUGGAGUCAAUAUUUAAAUUUGUGAACCUAGGUGACAGGAAAGAUGGUGAUACUUUAAUAGUAGAGAAGUUCGAAUAAGAAGAAGGUUUUUGAGGAAGAUAAGCAAAUUUAGACAACAUGGUGCCUAUGGGACAUCCAGUUUGAGAUGAUAAUGUAAUCCAGAGUAAAAUAAUGAGAACACAAGAUUGUGACUUAGGGGGCACUGCUAAUAGUUGUGGGAAAAAAAAUCCAGGAAAAGAAAAGGAGCAGUUCAACAGGUAGGAGCAGGUCCAGGAGAAAAACAUUACUAAAAUUAGAAAAGAAUAUAAGGAGAAGUGAAGAAUUGACAGAAAUUUUGCAAAAAGAUCAAGAAUUAUAGAUUAGGAAAGGCCAUUAGAUUUAACAGUUCAGAAAUCAUUGUUAACUUUCAAGAAAGCCAUUUGAAUUGAAUAAAUGAGGUCACAAGUCAGACUGCAAAGAGCAAUGGAAGUGAGGACAUUGACUAGUUGGCCUCAAGCUUAGCCAUGAAAGAGUCAGGAGACGGGAUUUGCCCUGACAGUAGGUGAAGACAUCUAAAUAAUAGCAAAUAGGAGGAUGAGAGGAAAAAGCUCUUGGUGAAUAGCCUAAUUUUUUUCAGUGAAAUGAAAGAUAAGGUCUUUAGUUAAAAGGGUGGAAGAAUUAGGUUCCUUGGACAAGAUUAUGGGGAAUAAUUAAAUUAAGGAACUUUGAAGGUAAAGUAUUUGAAGGAAUAUCAAAAUUAAUGUUUAAGUCCCCUAGAAUGAGGCAGGAGUUGAAGAUGAGAGGAAAAACUGUGAAAUAGUCAUUGGAGAUUGGAAAAUAAUGAUCAGAAUCUUGAUUGGAUGAUAAAUAUGAUUUAUAAAAUGACUUGAGGUCACACAGGAACUAAGUUAAUAUUGAGGCACUUCGAUUGUUACAAAUCAUAUGGUGGUCCUUGACUCACUCAUCCAAACCUUAGUGGCAUUGGCAAAAAGACUGGUGCCUUCUACAAAAGCUAAAGAAGUACUCUCACCUUAAUCCAGAGAUUCAAGAUUACCAUGAAGUCUGCUGACAUAUUCCUACUCUUCUAGCGUGUUUAAGGAAACCUAUACCUCUAGAGGCAGGGGUCGAGGUGAUGGUCAGAGAGAAAGUCACUCCUGAAGAAAAGAAAUGGGAAAACAGACUUCUGUCUACGUGAGAGUGGGAGAAUCAAUCAACAGGCAGUAAUUUGUACAGCUUCUACCCUUCAUAUUCUGCCCAACAAACCAUUAGACAAGUACAAUUUCAUCUUGGUUACUGUUGGUCUGAUUCACUGGGCCUUUUUCUGCUUUGGGGAGUUAUAAAGGUCCUGGAGAACAGAGACAAGCAACUUUCUUCAAAUGCCUCAUCUCCGAAAACAGUCAAAUUACAAGAUGUUGGAACUUUUAA
Sarcophilus harrisii (Tasmanian devil) is the source of this 4098-nucleotide RNA transcript. It is a transcript of the gene named glycerophosphocholine phosphodiesterase 1, with no coding region annotated. Lineage: Eukaryota; Metazoa; Chordata; Mammalia; Dasyuromorphia; Dasyuridae. The transcript is spliced from 23 exons. The record is from RefSeq and is a predicted model, not a curated record.